CAAAUGGGUGAUUAAUGCUUGGAUUGAAAGAGCAUCUCCUUCAACCUCUACUACCAAGAGUCCCAAUUCUAAAUCGAGUUGAAGUCCCUGAACACAUGCAAGGGCCUCCGCCACAAACGCCGUAGGUAUGUUUUCGUUUAACGCAGACAUUGAUCCCAAAACCUGACCCUCUGAAUCCCUUAUAACUACCCUUGAGCAAGAUCUGUUUUCAUGUUUUUAAAAGCUGCAUUGAAAUUUAUCUUCACACUUGGGCUCUCCGGUGAUUGUCACUUCUCAACCCCCAUCCUUCUGGCAGGCAAAGGUCUGACAUUGAUUGACAGAGUUAUGCUCGAAAAACCAAGUAACCCAUUCCAUAUAUUCGAGAUCUGAUACCGAAUGUGGCCAUGCAAAAUUCGAUUGUUGCCAUAUCUCCCUUGUCACAGGUCAAUCACACAGUGCAUGCUCUCUGGUUUCCAUCUCUCCCGCACAUCUAGGGCAUAUUGUUGUUGCUACUAGUCUUUUAUAUUAUAAAUUACAUUGGAUAGGAAGGAAAUUAAUGGAAAAACGCCAUAUUGUUAUCUUCAAUUUUGAGGACAAGUUUAGUCCCCAUAAUUUCUUGUAGAAAUCCAUAUGUGCAGUUUGGCUGUAUAGAUGAUUAGGAUCGAUAGUCCCUUGUAAUAAAAGCUUGUAGCCACUUUAGACAGAA
Gossypium arboreum is the source of this 685-nucleotide long non-coding RNA. RefSeq lists it as uncharacterized. NCBI's taxonomy places the organism in Eukaryota, Viridiplantae, Streptophyta, Magnoliopsida, Malvales, Malvaceae. The transcript is spliced from 2 exons. The record is from RefSeq and is a predicted model, not a curated record.